AACGAACGCUGGCGGCAGGCUUAACACAUGCAAGUCGAACGCCCCGCAAGGGGAGUGGCAGACGGGUGAGUAACGCGUGGGAACAUACCCUUUCCUGCGGAAUAGCUCUGGGAAACUGGAAUUAAUACCGCAUACGCCCUACGGGGGAAAGAUUUAUCGGGGAAGGAUUGGCCCGCGUUGGAUUAGCUAGUUGGUGGGGUAAAGGCCUACCAAGGCGACGAUCCAUAGCUGGUCUGAGAGGAUGAUCAGCCACAUUGGGACUGAGACACGGCCCAAACUCCUACGGGAGGCAGCAGUGGGGAAUAUUGGACAAUGGGCGCAAGCCUGAUCCAGCCAUGCCGCGUGAGUGAUGAAGGCCUUAGGGUUGUAAAGCUCUUUCACCGAUGAAGAUAAUGACGGUAGUCGGAGAAGAAGCCCCGGCUAACUUCGUGCCAGCAGCCGCUGUAA
Molecule: ribosomal RNA, 447 nt
Filed under: uncultured bacterium
Lineage: Bacteria
Description: partial 16S ribosomal RNA
Rfam family: Bacterial small subunit ribosomal RNA
Source: RNAcentral